This 72-nucleotide transfer RNA is filed under the name Mnemiopsis leidyi (sea walnut). Its description in RNAcentral is "tRNA-Glu for anticodon CUC". It matches the Rfam family "tRNA". From Rfam's summary of the family: Transfer RNA (tRNA) molecules are approximately 80 nucleotides in length. Lineage: Eukaryota; Metazoa; Ctenophora; Tentaculata; Lobata; Bolinopsidae. The record is from RNAcentral. RNAcentral also lists the same sequence under 1 other name.
UCCGGCGUGGUGUAGGGGCUAGCAUCUGUGGCUCUCACCCACAAGACCCGGGUUCGAUUCCCGGCGUCGGAA